AUCUACAGACAUGCUGCCCUGAACGUGCCCGAUCCCUUCUGAUCUUAGAAGAUAAGCAGCAUUGGGCCCGGUUAGUACUUGGAUGGGAGACCACCUAGGAAUACCAGGUGCUGUAGGUG
This 119-nucleotide ribosomal RNA is filed under the name Pteropus alecto (black flying fox). Lineage: Eukaryota; Metazoa; Chordata; Mammalia; Chiroptera; Pteropodidae. The record is from RNAcentral.